Serinus canaria (Common canary) is the source of this 361-nucleotide long non-coding RNA. RefSeq lists it as uncharacterized. The record is from RefSeq and is a predicted model, not a curated record. Lineage: Eukaryota; Metazoa; Chordata; Aves; Passeriformes; Fringillidae. The transcript is spliced from 3 exons.
CGGUUGGUGACAGAGGGGACAGGAUCCGGCGUGGGUGAGGAUGAGCUGGGAGGGAGCUGCCGCCGGCGCCCGGAGCAAUGCCGGCCCAGCCCGCCUGGUGGCAAACUGCUUUCGCUGGAACUGCCUCCGUUCGUCAGACCACCGGGGAACUCCUUUAGCUGUGACAUUGUAAUGGGAGGUGGAGACACCUCGAGGAGAAGGUCGAGACAGACAACAGCAAUUACAGUCAAUAGCAUCCUGACUUGCCUCGAUUACAGAAACCUCAGAAGAACUAUACACCCUUAAAAUCUGUGUUGAUGUGUUUUAAAUGAAUGAUAUGGAGCACAUCCACUCUCAGCAGGUUGCAGGAAGGGGCCAUAAA